AUUGAACGCUGGCGGCAUGCCUUACACAUGCAAGUCGAACGGUAACAGGUCUUCGGAUGCUGACGAGUGGCGAACGGGUGAGUAAUGUAUCGGAACGUGCCCAGUCGUGGGGGAUAACUGCUCGAAAGAGCAGCUAAUACCGCAUACGACCUGAGGGUGAAAGCGGGGGAUCGCAAGACCUCGCGCGAUUGGAGCGGCCGAUAUCAGAUUAGGUAGUUGGUGGGGUAAAGGCUCACCAAGCCAACGAUCUGUAGCUGGUCUGAGAGGACGACCAGCCACACUGGGACUGAGACACGGCCCAGACUCCUACGGGAGGCAGCAGUGGGGAAUUUUGGACAAUGGGCGCAAGCCUGAUCCAGCCAUGCCGCGUGCGGGAAGAAGGCCUUCGGGUUGUAAACCGCUUUUGUCAGGGAAGAAAUCUUCUGGGCUAAUACCCUGGGAGGAUGACGGUACCUGAAGAAUAAGCACCGGCUAACUACGUGCCAGCCGCCGCCGUAA
Molecule: ribosomal RNA, 498 nt
Filed under: uncultured bacterium
Lineage: Bacteria
Description: partial 16S ribosomal RNA
Rfam family: Bacterial small subunit ribosomal RNA
Source: RNAcentral